Acanthopagrus latus (yellowfin seabream) is the source of this 1818-nucleotide long non-coding RNA. RefSeq lists it as uncharacterized. Lineage: Eukaryota; Metazoa; Chordata; Actinopteri; Spariformes; Sparidae. The transcript has 2 exons. The record is from RefSeq and is a predicted model, not a curated record.
GUACUCCAAAUAAAUGUAUUGUAUUAUAUAUUAUUUACUUAUUUAUUUGUUUUUAUUCAUUGAAAUAAGAUGAAUUAUUUGUAGAUUUGGCUAUUAUAAACUUGGACUCACUUGUCUUGGCACACAGUGGGUUAAUAUAACGGAAACAAGAAAUGGACCAAUCACAAUUUUUCUUGUGUUGGUACCUGGGUAAAUUACUACCCCUGCAGGGCCUUCGGUAGCAGCAAUGAAGGCCUGUGUAAUUCAAGUGGAUGUUGAAUGUGGCAUGAAUUUGACAUUGACAGGUGUCUUAGCCAGUCAUAUUUCGCCGAGUUGAGGGCGGGAUCAUUUCAUGGCAUCUUCUGGACAUUCACAAAUACCUAGCAUGACCGUGUAAGGCGACCCGUGAAAGAGAGUGAGGAGAAGAGAGAACAAACAGGAGACAAAUAGACCUUAUGAAAUGGCGGCAGUUGGUAGUGAAGAAAAGUGUUAUCACUGGAUCUAUUGAAACUCCAUUUUCAAGAUUUCCUUUUCAGGAUAAACUUGAAAUUGUCCAGAAAAGGUCGACCAUCACCCGCCUUACCAGGAUUUGUGCAAUCUAGCGAGAGCCACCAGAGGCAUUUUCAAGCUAGCGGCUACAGCCAAGCUGCAGUGAUACCUCCACUGGAUAAAACUACUGAUAAACAGCUGAUAAAACUACUGAUAAACAACUGUUACUCUUAUUGCUAAUGUGUUCAGAUGGAAUAUAUUUCAAGGGAAUAGACUUUUUACUUUCAUUCCAGCCAAACAUUCAGUACCAGUACAGUACCUUUAUUUUUAUUAUUUUCAACACUGUAGAUUGAUACUGAAGACAUCAAAACUAUGAAGGAACGCAUGGAAUUAUGUAGUAAACGAAAAAGUGUUAAUCAAACCAUAAUAUGCUUUAUAUUUUAGAUUCUCCAAAGUAGCCACUGUUUGCUUUGAUGACAGCUUUGUACACUCUUGGCAUUCUCUCAGUCAGCUUCAUGAGGUAGUCACUUGGAAUGGUUUUCAGUUAACAGGUGUGUCUUGUCAAGAGUAACUUGUGGAAUUUCUUGCCUUCUUAUGUUUGAGACUAUCACUUGUGUUAUGCAGAGGUGGUGUUGGUACACAGUUCUAUAUAGUUUUGAUGUCUUCAAUAUUAAUCUACAAUGUUGAAAAUAAUGAAAAUAAAGAAAAAACAUUGAAUGAGAAGGUGUGUCCUAACGUUUGACUGGUACUGUAUAGUGGUGCAACGGAUCAUCAUUGAUCCAUGAUCCGUUCCGAUCAUUAUUUUCGGUUCAGCGCGCACACGUGAUCUGCGGAUUGAUUUCUGAAAAAAAACGUUGUGUGUAUGUUCAAUCCACACACUCGUAAAGUGCAGCGUGGUCAUGGUGAGUGGAGGAACAGAGGAGCUUGUAGGCAGUGUAGCACAAGAGAGCCAUGUGACAGUGGAAACACAUCAAGCAUGGCCACGCAUUUCAAGCGACAUCACCCCGGUGUUUCACUGACAGGAGUGAAAACGAAGACUGCUCAACAACCGCUUGUCACCGCGGCAUUUAAGCCUCUGUCUUCCCCCACACAGGAUUCGGACUCUGAGUCUUCCUGUGCCUCUGUUUGCUUCUCAUUCCCCAGACCCUGUCCCUUUCUUUGCCUGAAGCUCUCUAGAAUUGUUUCUUAGUUUCCUUUUCAGAUGUGGCACGUUUGAAAGCAAAAACUGAGAAGUAAAUGGUGAUUUCUUCACAGUAUUCUAAUUUUAUGAAUUCCUGUUUUCGUGGGUUUUAUGAGCUGGAAGCCCAAAUUAUGUACAAAUAAAUAAAUAAAUACUUGAAAUUGUUUAAA